RNAcentral lists this long non-coding RNA (293 nucleotides) under Sus scrofa (pig). Its description in RNAcentral is "lncRNA (ENSSSCG00070026189.1)". The record is from RNAcentral. Lineage: Eukaryota; Metazoa; Chordata; Mammalia; Artiodactyla; Suidae.
AUGCCACGUUGCAGUGGUUGUGAUGCAAGUCACAAUUUCGGCUCAGAUUCUAUUCUGGCCUGGGAACUUCCAUAUGCCAUGGGUACGGCCAUAAGAAAAGCAAGCAAGCAAGCAAUGUACUUUCGUGUUGUUCAGGCCAAGUGUUUAAACAAUGACAUUGCAAAGGCUGCACCCAAAGGAAGAUAACAGGACAAGAGGAGCCAGAGAGAGAGGAGCGGCUGUCCCAGGCCAGGAAGAAGAGAAAUAUCUCCUUCCAUGAAUCCCUUUAUAGGAGCAAUCAUUGGAAAAGGGAG